GUGUAAUGAACUGGAAAAAAAAUUUUUUAAAUAGAAAAAGAAAAAAAAAGAAGAGGAGGAAGAUGACAAGUAAGAGGAAAAAAUAAACAUUUCAAAGUCUUAUUUUGGUGAUGCUCAAAGGCUCUCUCUUGCUCUCAGAAACUUCAGAGCAAGAUAUGGCUCUUUCUUUUUUGUAGCUUGGAGCAACUUUCCUGUCAACUGCCUAUCUAACCUCUGUCACUAGAAAGCUAUGCACUGGCAAACUGGCCUCAGCAGUUCAAGGUUGGAGAACCCCAGCCAACGCCCGAGGGUGGGACAGAACGCAGGCGCCAAGCAGUAUCCUCGGGCUGCUAAUUUGCAGGACACACAGAGCCCUGUUCUGUAACCUCCCCCUAGGCUGUGGAUGUCAAGAGUGGAAUGCAAGAAGCAACUGUAAGCAUACACAUUGGUUUAAAUGACCUAAUGCUCAGAGGAUUAAACCACGCCUCCACGCCUCCUUUCCUGUCCUGCACUUGUUUAGUAAAAAGAAAUCUACCAUUGAAUUGAGGACCAAACACUAUAAACAAACUGGGUCAAAUAAAUUGUCAUCUACCCGGGGCAGUCCACUUAUCUGUGAAGAAACUUCCACUAACAACUGGUACGGUCAACAAUCUCUUAUUAACAAAGCAUUGUCUGUUAUAUACAAAUGUAGGCUUAAAAAUUCUAUAUGACUUGAAAUAUGAUUAACUCCAUCAUUACCUCUGCU
RNAcentral lists this long non-coding RNA (724 nucleotides) under Equus caballus (horse). RNAcentral's name for it is "lncRNA (ENSECAG00000054788.1)". Lineage: Eukaryota; Metazoa; Chordata; Mammalia; Perissodactyla; Equidae. The record is from RNAcentral.